GCGGGGGUGCCCGAGCCUGGUCAAAGGGGGCGGACUUAAGGUCAUAGAAUGAGAAAUCCGCUGGCGAAGGCCUGCGUGGGUUCAAAUCCCACCCCCCGCACCA
This 103-nucleotide transfer RNA is filed under the name Vulcanisaeta souniana JCM 11219. RNAcentral's name for it is "tRNA-Leu". It matches the Rfam family "tRNA". From Rfam's summary of the family: Transfer RNA (tRNA) molecules are approximately 80 nucleotides in length. Their secondary structure includes four short double-helical elements and three loops (D, anti-codon, and T loops). The record is from RNAcentral. Lineage: Archaea; Thermoproteati; Thermoproteota; Thermoprotei; Thermoproteales; Thermoproteaceae.